Molecule: long non-coding RNA, 639 nt
Organism: Gasterosteus aculeatus aculeatus (three-spined stickleback)
Lineage: Eukaryota; Metazoa; Chordata; Actinopteri; Perciformes; Gasterosteidae
Source: Ensembl
UGACAAUCUAAAUGUUAGAAACAACAGUAUAAUAAAUGUGUUCCUGGUUUGGUUUGACUUCAUGUUACUUUUUGUUUUCCUUAAGUGUUGCAUCCCAUUUAGUAUUUUUGAUAUCAUCCCUUUACAUUUUUAAACAGCGUAGCAUUCCCUCUGUCUACUUGCAGAGAAGUUUAGGGGUUAAAACUCCACCAACCAUCACUGGGUGCAUUGAGGAGAUAAAAGAGACACCUGUGAUCUGUUUAAUCAGAUGGAAUAUUUAUAUGAUCUAUUUACACACUGAGGGCAUAUUGUGUAUUUCGUUUGUAGCAUCAUCUUAAACUUCUUUCAAGAAUUCUGAUGCUCCGUUAAGGAGGAUUUCUUUGAUGAGGGACGGUGGACCUUAAUAAAACUCACUGCCAGUAAAGACACGAGGAAAUGUACUGUGGAACAAACAUCAAGUCUGUUAUGAGAAGUGUUGGACUAGUUGCUGCUGUUGUACCAUAAAUGACUCGUUCCUUUAAUGUCAGAAUAAAACCAAACGUGACGCUUGUCUGUCAGAAGACUCGUCUUCUUCUUCUCUGGUUUUGACGAGUCUUUUUACACGUCCUCGUUGGCUCAAUCGGUUCUAGUUAUUGAAGGUGGUGGUGGUGAUGAUGAUGA